AACCUGUCGUCUUAUUUAAAACCCGGAGAUGGAGUGAGAAGCCAUCUCUCUCUCUCUCUCUCUCUCUCUCUUACAAAUUUGGAUUUCUUCAGGAAAACCAAAAAAAAAAAGAAAAAAAAAACUUUGAAAUCUCUCGUGAUGAAUUAAAAGUCUAUUCUUUUUCUUGGUGGGUAUUAGUAGUGAAUUCUCUGUUUCCAUCUUGGAUGGAUAUAUAGUGUAAACACAGAGCAAAGAUUCUUCUUCUUUGUAGAAGAAGCAAAUGAGAGAAGAGAGAGGAUCGUUUCUUCACGUAUUGGUCGUAUAGAAAGAUCUUAAUCAAUAGCGAUCGAUCUAGGCCAUUAAGUUCAAAGUUUUUGUUUCCUUUUUUCUUUGACGAUCUCAAUAGUUCCCAACGAAACAAGAUGAAGAGAUCACGUGGAAGCUCCGAUUCUUUGGCCGGUUUCUUACCAAUUCGCCAUUCUGCAACAGACAAACAAAUAAGUCCAAGACCAACAAACACCGGCUUUCUCUAUUCCGGCGCCGGAGACUACUCUCAGAUGUUCGACGCUUUAGACGACGACGGAAGUCUAGACGACAUGGGAGGCGUUGGACACGCGUCUUCCACGGCCGCGGAGAAAAAGCGGCGGUUGAGUGUAGAGCAAGUGAAAGCGUUAGAGAAGAAUUUUGAGAUUGAUAACAAGCUAGAGCCGGAGAGGAAAGUGAAGCUGGCUCAAGAACUUGGGUUGCAGCCGCGACAAGUCGCGAUCUGGUUUCAGAACCGCCGUGCUCGGUGGAAGACAAAGCAGCUUGAACGUGAUUACGGCGUUCUUAAGUCAAACUUUGAUGCACUCAAACGCAGCCGCGACUCGCUUCAACGCGAUAACGAUUCUCUCCUUGGACAGAUUAAAGAGCUCAGAGCAAAACUUAAGGUGGAUGGGGUCAAUGGUGUAGAAGAAGAGAACGGAGUUAUCAAAGCGGCGGAUGCAAAUCAGACGGUGGUGAUGGCUAAUAAUGAAGUCUUAGAGCUAAACCACCGUCCUCCGCCACCCCAUAUUCCUACGGAAGCUCCAGCUCCGACGUCGGAGCUCGCGUACGAAAUGUUUAGCAUUUUUCCACGGACCGAAAGCUUCAGAGAAGAUCCUGCCGAUAGCAGUGACUCGAGCGCGGUGUUGAACGAAGAGUAUAGUCCCACGACCGUUGAAGCGGCGGGUGCAGUGGCGGCAACGACGAUGGAUUGUUUCAGCCAGUUCGUGAAGAUGGAAGAGCAUGAAGAUCUGUUCAGUGGAGAGGAAGCUUGCAAGUUGUUUGCGGACAAUGAACAAUGGUAUUGCUCCGAUCAGUGGAAUUCGUAAAAUACGUGGGGGUAGAAUUGAAAACAUAAGAAAAUUGAGGGGUUAUGUAAAAAUAUUUCUGAAGGUCGGAAAAUGAAUUACCCAAAAUGUUGGGGUCUUCUUAGUUGUGAAAGUGGGGACAUGACGCGAGAAGGUAAAAAACCGAGAGAUCACGUGCGGUUCCAUGCACGUGCGGCCGUAAUCUUUUCGAUGUUGAAGAGACAUGACAAAAAAAAAAAAAAUCUCAAAUUAUCGGGAAUGAAUAAAAAUAAAAUGUGACGAAAUAAUAUUGUUCGUCAUUUAUAUUAUUA
This is a non-coding RNA of Camelina sativa (false flax), 1621 nucleotides long. NCBI's taxonomy places the organism in Eukaryota, Viridiplantae, Streptophyta, Magnoliopsida, Brassicales, Brassicaceae. The record is from RefSeq and is a predicted model, not a curated record.